RNAcentral lists this ribosomal RNA (456 nucleotides) under uncultured bacterium. Its description in RNAcentral is "bacterial SSU rRNA". It matches the Rfam family "Bacterial small subunit ribosomal RNA", at positions 29 to 486 of the family's 1533-position model. The record is from RNAcentral.
AGCGAACGUUUGCGGCGGGCCUAACACAUGCAAGUCGAACGCACUAGCAAUAGUGAGUGGCGCACGGUUGCGUAACACGUGGGUAAUCAACCCUUCAGCCUGGGAUAACGACUCGAAAGGGUCGCUAAUACCGGAUACGGCGCGAGAGGCUUCGGCUUCUCACGAGAAAGCCACGCAAGGGGCACUGAAGGACGAGCCUGCGGCCCAUCAGCUAGUUGGUGAGGUAAGAGCUCACCAAGGCUAAGACGGGUAGCUGGUCUGAGAGGAUGAUCAGCCACACUGGAACUGAGACACGGUCCAGACUCCUACGGGAGGCAGCAGUGGGGAAUAUUGCGCAAUGGGCGAAAGCCUGACGCAGCCACGCCGCGUGAGCGAUGAAGGCCUCGGGUCGUAAGACUCUGUGGGAGGAGACGAAGAAAGACCUGUGAAGAGCAGGCCUUGACGGUAGUCUCCUUA